CCUACGGGAGGCAGCAGUGGGGAAUUUUGGACAAUGGGCGCAAGCCUGAUCCAGCAAUGCCGCGUGAGUGAAGAAGGCCUUCGGGUUGUAAAGCUCUUUUGUCAGGGAAGAAACGGUGAGGGCUAAUAUCUCUUGCUAAUGACGGUACCUGAAGAAUAAGCACCGGCUAACUACGUGCCAGCAGCCGCGGUAAUACGUAGGGUGCAAGCGUUAAUCGGAAUUACUGGGCGUAAAGCGUGCGCAGGCGGUUUUGUAAGUCUGUCGUGAAAUCCCCGGGCUCAACCUGGGAAUUGCGAUGGAGACUGCAAGGCUAGAAUCUGGCAGAGGGGGGUAGAAUUCCACGUGUAGCAGUGAAAUGCGUAGAGAUGUGGAGGAACACCGAUGGCGAAGGCAGCCCCCUGGGUCAAGAUUGACGCUCAUGCACGAAAGCGUGGGGAGCAAACAGGAUUAGGAUACCCUGGUAGUCCACGCCCUAAACGAUGUCUACUAGUUGUCGGGUUUUAAUUAACUUGGUAACGCAGCUAACGCGUGAAGUAGACCGCCUGGGGAGUACGGUCGCAAGAUUAAAACUCAAAGGAAUUGACGG
Molecule: ribosomal RNA, 586 nt
Filed under: uncultured bacterium
Lineage: Bacteria
Description: bacterial SSU rRNA
Rfam family: Bacterial small subunit ribosomal RNA
Source: RNAcentral